AACGAACGCUGGCGGCAUGCCUAACACAUGCAAGUCGAACGAGACCUUCGGGCUUAGUGGCGCACGGGUGCGUAACGCGGGGGAACCUGCCCUUAGGUUCGGAAUAACUCCCGGGAAGGGGUGCUAAUACCGGAUAAUGUCUUCGGUCCAAAGAUUUAUCGCCUUUGGAUGGGCUCGCGAUGGAUUAGUUAGUUGGUAGGGUAAAAGCCUACCAAGGCUACGAUCCAUAGCUGGUCUGAGAGGAUGAUCCGCCACACUGGGACUGAGACACGGCCCAGACUCCUACGGGAGGCAGCAGUGGGGAAUAUUGGACAGUGGGCGGAAGCCUGAUCCAGCAAUGCCGCGUGAGUGAUGAAGGCCUUAGGGUUGUAAAGCUCUUUUACCCGGGAUGAUAAUGACAUUACCGGGAGAAUAAGCUCCGGCUAACUCCGUG
RNAcentral lists this ribosomal RNA (433 nucleotides) under uncultured bacterium. Its description in RNAcentral is "partial 16S ribosomal RNA". It matches the Rfam family "Bacterial small subunit ribosomal RNA", at positions 29 to 507 of the family's 1533-position model. The record is from RNAcentral.